RNAcentral lists this transfer RNA (72 nucleotides) under Marmota monax (woodchuck). RNAcentral's name for it is "tRNA.Ala". The record is from RNAcentral. Lineage: Eukaryota; Metazoa; Chordata; Mammalia; Rodentia; Sciuridae.
GGGAGUGUAGCUCAGUGGCUGAUCAUGUGCCAAGCAUGCUCAAGGCCCUGGGUUCAAACCCCAGCAACCUCC